RNAcentral lists this transfer RNA (77 nucleotides) under Bdellovibrionales bacterium RIFOXYD1_FULL_53_11. RNAcentral describes it as "tRNA-Thr". It matches the Rfam family "tRNA". From Rfam's summary of the family: Transfer RNA (tRNA) molecules are approximately 80 nucleotides in length. Their secondary structure includes four short double-helical elements and three loops (D, anti-codon, and T loops). The record is from RNAcentral. Lineage: Bacteria; Pseudomonadati; Bdellovibrionota; Bdellovibrionia; Bdellovibrionales.
GCUCUUGUAGCUCAGAUGGCCAGAGCACUCCCUUGGUAAGGGAGAGGUCAUGGGUUCAAUUCCCAUCAAGAGCUCCA